CCUACGGGAGGCUGCAGUGGGGAAUAUUGCACAAUGGGCGCAAGCCUGAUGCAGCCAUGCCGCGUGUGUGAAGAAGGCCUUCGGGUUGUAAAGCACUUUCAGCGGGGAGGAAGGCGUUAAGGUUAAUAACCUUGUCGAUUGACGUUACCCGCAGAAGAAGCACCGGCUAACUCCGUGCCAGCAGCCGCGGUAAUACGGAGGGUGCAAGCGUUAAUCGGAAUUACUGGGCGUAAAGCGCACGCAGGCGGUCUGUCAAGUCGGAUGUGAAAUCCCCGGGCUCAACCUGGGAACUGCAUUCGAAACUGGCAGGCUAGAGCCUUGUAGAGGGGGGUAGAAUUCCAGGUGUAGCGGUGAAAUGCGUAGAGAUCUGGAGGAAUACCGGUGGCGAAGGCGGCCCCCUGGACAAAGACUGACGCUCAGGUGCGAAAGCGUGGGGAGCAAACAGGAUUAGAUACCCGAGUAGUC
Molecule: ribosomal RNA, 465 nt
Filed under: uncultured Klebsiella sp.
Lineage: Bacteria; Pseudomonadati; Pseudomonadota; Gammaproteobacteria; Enterobacterales; Enterobacteriaceae
Description: bacterial SSU rRNA
Rfam family: Bacterial small subunit ribosomal RNA
Source: RNAcentral